AACUCAAUGAGGUUUUAACAGUGGCAGUGUCAAGCCUGCAACCCCGAUUUGAAAAGCUGUGCAGUGCAAAACAGGCUCAUUGCAGCCACUAAUGCUGGAGUACUGUAAAACUCAUGUUCACUUGCAGGGGCGCCGAAAAGGGGGGGUAAAGGAGACGGAUUCUAGGGGCCCAUGAUGGAGGGGGGCCCAGAGAGGCCCCUAAUGAUGAUGAAAUUAUAAUACAGAAAAAAUAAUGACACUAAGUUAUUAACUAACAUAUAAUCACACAUGUUUUAUUUUCCAUGUCCUGGUAACAAUACCUUUAUUUGUUUUGGAAGCAUCAACACCUGCAGGGCCCUCCCUUCCCCCCCUCUAUUUACGUAAAAUGGUUCAGUCCGACUGGAUCAGCUGCAGGUAGAGCACCGACGAUUUGUCACAGACAGACAGCGCCACAGCGGGCAAAGCGGAGGAGACAGCAGUAUGCCUCAAAAAUCAGGCAGCCAAAAAAGAAAGGAAAAUAAAAUAACAGAGGAGAAGGAGUUGAAGGGUCGACAAUAUGUCACCCAAUAUUUCCCAAAAAAAGUCAAGUGCACCAGCAGCAGCAGCAGCUGUCUGUCAGCCCCCAAGUCCCCCUGCCCCUGGAUCAGCCCGUGCCCCCACAUGAGGAAGGAGUACUUCCCGUGUCUCCCGUGAUCGAGCUGUGUGCCUCGACUUUCCUGUUGGAUUCCGGACUGCCUUCCUCGAUCCUCGGCCCCUGCUUGGACACGGAUCUCAUUGCUUCUCUCCAGCCCUCGAUCGCUUGCUUGCCCAUGGACUGCCUUCUUGCCUUGCCCCUAUGGUCUGACGAAAGAUUCGCUCAACAGUCAU
Entelurus aequoreus (snake pipefish) is the source of this 846-nucleotide long non-coding RNA. RefSeq lists it as uncharacterized. NCBI's taxonomy places the organism in Eukaryota, Metazoa, Chordata, Actinopteri, Syngnathiformes, Syngnathidae. The transcript is spliced from 3 exons. The record is from RefSeq and is a predicted model, not a curated record.